Molecule: ribosomal RNA, 629 nt
Filed under: uncultured Lentisphaerota bacterium
Lineage: Bacteria; Pseudomonadati; Lentisphaerota
Description: bacterial SSU rRNA
Rfam family: Bacterial small subunit ribosomal RNA
Source: RNAcentral
AGAGUUUGAUCCUGGCUCAGAUUGAACGCUGGCGGCAUGGCUAAAACAUGCAAGUCGAACGCGAACGGGGCUUCGGCCCUCAGUAGAGUGGCGAAAGGGCGAGUAAUGCAUACUUAACGUACCCUCAGGUGCGGGAUAGCUCGGGGAAACCCGUGGUAAUACCGCAUAAUCCGGGAAACCGGCAAAGGCUUGCUGCCUGAGGAUCGGAGUAUGUCCUAUCAGCUUGUUGGUGAGGUAAAGGCUCACCAAGGCGAAGACGGGUAGCGGGUGUGAGAGCACGGCCCGCCGCAUCGGGACUGAGACACUGCCCGGACUCCUACGGGAGGCUGCAGUAACGAAUAUUCCGCAAUGCGCGAAAGCGUGACGGAGCAAUGCCGCGUGUGGGAUGAAGCCCCUCGGGGUGUAAACCACUGUCAGGGUUUAGGAAUCAUGACCAGACCCAGAGGAAGGACCGGCUAACUCUGUGCCAGCAGCCGCGGUAAUACAGAGGGUCCAAGCGUUAAUCGGAAUCACUGGGCUUAAAGGGUGCGCAGGCGGGCUUGUAGGUAUCUUGUGAAAUCCCACGGCUUAACCGUGGAAUCGCUCGGUAAACCCCAAGCCUUGAGCGCGACAGGGGCCGUCGGAACGGU